GACGAACGCUGGCGGCGUGCUUAACACAUGCAAGUCGAACGCUGAACCCGCUUCGGUGGGGGAUGAGUGGCGAACGGGUGCGUAACACGUGGGCAACCUGCCCCCGGCUCUGGGAUAACUCCAAGAAAGUGGGGCUAAUACCGGAUGUGACCGCUGGCCGCAUGGUCUGGGUGUGGUAAGGGUUUCCGGCUGGGGAUGGGCUCGCGGCCUAUCAGCUUGUUGGUGGGGUAGUGGCCUACCAAGGCGACGACGGGUAGCCGGCCUGAGAGGGUGACCGGCCACACUGGGACUGAGACGAGGCAGAGGCACCUAAGGGAGGGAGCAGUGGGGAAGAUUGCGGGAGGGGCGGAAGGCGGGCGAAGAGAGGCCGCGUGGGGGAAGACGGCCUUAGGGUUGUAGACCUAUUUCGGCAGGGACGAAGCGCAAGUGGCGGUACCUUCAGAAGAAGGACCGGCCAACUACGGG
This 465-nucleotide ribosomal RNA is filed under the name uncultured bacterium. Its description in RNAcentral is "partial 16S ribosomal RNA". It matches the Rfam family "Bacterial small subunit ribosomal RNA", at positions 28 to 507 of the family's 1533-position model. The record is from RNAcentral.